GACAGAGGGUGCAAACGUUGUUCGGAAUUACUGGGCGUAAAGCGUGUGUGGGUGGCUGCGUAAGUCGGAUGUGAAAGCCCUGGGCUCAACUCAGGAAGUGCACUCGAUACUGCGUAGCUCGAGUACCGGAGAGGUUGGUAGAAUUCUCGGUGUAGAGGUGAAAUUCGUAGAUAUCGAGAGGAAUACCUGUGGCGAAGGCGGCCAACUGGACGAGUACUGACACUGAGACACGAAAGCGUGGGGAGCAAACAGG
RNAcentral lists this ribosomal RNA (253 nucleotides) under uncultured bacterium. Its description in RNAcentral is "partial 16S ribosomal RNA". It matches the Rfam family "Bacterial small subunit ribosomal RNA", at positions 524 to 776 of the family's 1533-position model. The record is from RNAcentral.